GGUGGCUCAGUGGUAGAGUGCUUGCCUGACAUGCAUGAGGCCCUGGGUUCCAUUCCUCAGCACCA
Dipodomys ordii (Ord's kangaroo rat) is the source of this 65-nucleotide non-coding RNA. Lineage: Eukaryota; Metazoa; Chordata; Mammalia; Rodentia; Heteromyidae. The record is from Rfam.